GGCAGAGAGAUGGGGGCAGAUGGGCAUGGGGGAGGGGUGCAGAGAAUUGUCGAGUUUGGCAGAGUGUGUGGCAGUGAGAGAGUAGCACAGAAAGAGCAUGACACAAAAUUUUCCCAAAUGCCUGCUGCUCAGCUUGGUUGAGCGUGGAGUUAUGGGGAAAGGAGAGAGGAUAGGUACCAUGUCUGGGCUCUCUGCUUCCUAUUGGUCUGGAGCUCUGGCCUUGGUGGCUCCAAUCAUAUGAUGGGAACCAGUGGGAAAGAUUGCUGGUGACCAGCAUGACUCCACCAACAGCCAUGGAGCUCAUGAUUGAUCCUCUUGGCUGCCUUAUCAGGAUCACCCUGGAGCCCUUUCAGAGGACAUCUGCCUCCUCCAUCCUGGAAAGUCUGAAAUACCAGUCCCAUUUCCUCACUGCCACGUUCUGUUACUGAUGUGGGGGGGUGUUGAGAUGGAAAAAGGCUAGAAACCACCACAGUGCCUGUGCCCCCCUCUCUGCUCCAGCUAGUACUCCUCCCCAAGAGCCACUGGGAGGACCAGCAGUCACAGCUAUCCACCUGAAAUGCACACUCUCAGCCUCUGGAAACAAAGAUUUACAAGCUUGGGCCUGUUCCCUGGAGAUCCUUCUUCCUGUGGGCCUGGGGAGCAGUCUAGUUGUGUGUAGUUCUUUAAAAGUUCCUUUCCGAGGUGGUCCUGAUGUGCACAUGACUUAGAGGAUCAGUAAUCUAGAUGAUAACUCCAAAUGCAGACCAGGGCCCUGUAGGCUUGGCCACCUCCCCUGGGAACUAGUUGGAGAUGCAUAUUGUCAACCCUGCCCCAGACCUGCUGGGGAGGGCAUCCAACACUGUUUCACAAGCUCUCCUGAGGAUUCUUCCCUAGACCAGUGCAGCUCAAACAUACGGGAGCACAGAAAUCCCUUGGGGAUAUUAAAAAUAGAGAUUCUGAUCCGUGAGUCUGGGGCAGAGCUACAGUCUACAUUUCUAAGAAGCACCCAGGUCAUGUUGCUGGUCCACAGAUCACACUUGGAGUAGCAAGGGUCUAGAGACCAUAGACGUACCUUCAGAAAUAAGGGAAAAGUAAGUGUGUGUGUGUGUGUGUGUGUGUGUGUGUGUGUGUGUGUUGGGGGGUGAUCUGAGCAGCCAAAGUAAAUUUCCAGAGUCCCUGGGCCUCUCUUAGAACUCACUCUUACUUUUAGACCAGCUGCCCCAAGCUAACUGGGCUCAAUAGUCAUCUAAGUGCCAGAUCACAGCUGACUGGGGUAAGAGGGGUGGUCUCAGAGGUAGGCACUCUGGUAUGAGUGACAGGUACCAGCAAACACAUACUCAAAAGGCUAGCCAGAAGUCUGUUUUGUGUGCCAUAAACUUCCUGCUCUUCAUAUUGGUGCCAAGUCAGUAAAAAAUAAAUAAAUAAAUGAUGGUUACAUUCAGAUUAAUGCAAGAAAGUAUGCAAUCCAUUUUACAAAAAUUGCAUAAAAUGGGUGAACACAAAAAAUAAUUCUGAUGUGUCUGAAGGGAUAAGCACCAUUUUGUGGGUGUAAAGUAGUUUAUUCCUCUCUAAUGCCUAGGUGAAUGUGAGUGUGUUUUUAACAUCUUCAAUCUGACUGCCAUUUAUGUUGAUUAGAACCCAUUUUCAUGUCUAAUCUGUAUCAUUUUUAUAAUGUUUGUUUUUAAGAAAGUAAGGGCUUUGGAUUAGAAGGUUUCAGAUGCCUCUCACAGAUCUAAGACUCUGUCCGUGAAAUGUGUAUAAUUAUCUUUAAGUGAUAUCAUUAAUGCAUUAGAUGCAGAAACAUGCAUAUCAGUCUUUACAUAUCAAUUAAGUCACAAUGAGAUGUAGAUUAUUAGAAAAGAUGUGUUAAUAUAACAAGAUUAACUUAUUUUUAGGUUGUCUACUGCUAAAUCAAGUUAGCUAACUCUGUAAAGUUGUCAGAAAUCUCAGAAUAAAUUGAGCUACUUUCUGUGUACAAAUUAAUAUAAAAAGAACUAAGGGGAAAAGUAAUUGAGGGACUAUAGAAAAUAAUCUCAAAGACAUUCUACAAUAGCAAUACUUUAAUGGAGUGUACUCUUUUGGACAGGUUUAAUAAGUUGUUGAGAUUUUUGUCCCUCAAGAGGUGCAGAAUUUCAUUAUGCAUUUCUGUGGAGUGUUUGAGACCAUACUUUUUAGGUAAAUUGUGUAGUUUCCAGAAGAGACCAAAACAAACUAUGCAUCACAGAGAUUUUAUCUUUCAUUUUUAUUGCUCUACCUAUUGCUACUUACCAUAAUUAAAUGUUGUCUGAGUUGAAUUUAAUGUCACAAUGCCCUUUGAAUGUAAAUAGCAGUUGAGUAGUUGGAGCCCUUGUGUUCCAUUGUCAUGAGUACUGACAGGCUUGGGCUGAGUGCUGCCUAUCCUCACCUGGUGGCCAUUAGGCCAGAAUAAGGCUUGGAGGCAGUGGUGCUAGAAUGCACCCAACCGAGCUCCCAUAUCCAGAAUGCAGGCUUAGAAAUGAAAACUUCAAAAAUAUGUCAAUAAAACCCUAGCUGUCCUGUUAAUAAACAUAUAUUUUUACAUGUUCGAAAAUAAUUUUCCAUUUUUAGCAUUGAUUUAAUAAAGUUUCAAUAUAUACAAAUGUUAUGUAUUUGCUGAAAAUCAAUAAAUUUCAAGGUGGCAAUGAUUUAUGAAUAGGGCAGAACUAAGAUGCAUAGAAAAAUACUGGGAAAGUGGCAUAAUACAUGUGGCCUUUUGAAAGCCAUUUGGAAUGUUGAGGCUGUUGCUGGAGUUGUAAGAGGAAAUCUGAAAGGCUCUGAGAGCUAUGUUUAGCAUGUCAGCGAGAUUUAGCUGAUUUAGUUCAUCUAUUCAAGAACAAGAGUGGUAGAAGGAACAACCACCGCAGCUAGUUUCUAGAGGUUUCUGAAGAAGUGGUAUUCUAAUGGGCUUUUUAGAUCAGAGUUGUGUGUUUCUAUGAGAACAAUCCUUAUGGUGGAAAGAGAAGCUGACCUUAAUCCAAGAUAGCUAAGCAGAAUUGGUUAAAUUGGAUAAUGUUAUAUCCUGGUGAGGAAAAUAAUUUCAGCUGGAGUUUGGACAGUCCUAGAUUGGUCAUGGUUUCUCAUUGAGAAGCUUGUCCCUGGUUUAAUAAAAUAAUAAAUUUAAGCUAAAAAAUAAAUUUGUCUAUUAGUGACCCUGGUUGUCACUCUAAUAGAGAUGACAGGAUUAAUCAUGAUAGUGUGCAAACAUCACUAUGAUUGUAAACUGGGUCUUUAAAGUAAACUGCUGGGCAGUUCUAUUUCAUUUUGUUCCAGUUGGUUUUGUUUCAUUAAGUACAAAAUGAGUAUUUUACUGUGUUUUAGUAUUGGAAUUCUGGCACAAGGUGGGACCCCAGUACAUGCCUACUGCUAGGAUUAUCAUUUCCAGAUUGUCUCCUCAUGGCUACUAAAUGCCAGCUACUUACUGGCUAGAACCUUCUGGCAAUGGAAAAGUCUUUGUUAGAAUUCUCCAAAACCCCAUUAAGAAUUAGUUUUUUAAAAAACAAACAAAUAAACCACACAACAGUUGAGAUGAUCGUGUGGUUUUCUUCCUUAUUCUGUUAACAUGGUGAAUUUCACGAAUUGAUUUUUUGGGAACAUUAUUGAUUUUCAAAUGUUAAACCUGCCUUUCCUUCUUGAAAUCAACCCCACUUGGUCAUGUAUUAGUGCCCCUUCUAUGUAUUUCCAGAUUCAAUUUACUUAUAUAUUUGUGAGGAUUUUGGGGUAUAUGUUCAUGGAGUUGUUUCUGUGGGAAAGUUUAAAUUUU
Molecule: long non-coding RNA, 3757 nt
Organism: Phyllostomus discolor (pale spear-nosed bat)
Lineage: Eukaryota; Metazoa; Chordata; Mammalia; Chiroptera; Phyllostomidae
Exons: 2
Source: RefSeq, a predicted model, not a curated record